RNAcentral lists this ribosomal RNA (679 nucleotides) under uncultured archaeon. RNAcentral's name for it is "bacterial SSU rRNA". It matches the Rfam family "Archaeal small subunit ribosomal RNA", at positions 1 to 697 of the family's 1478-position model. The record is from RNAcentral.
UCCGGUCAUCCUGCUGAAGGUCACUGCUAUCGGGGUCGACUUAAGCCAUGCGAGUCGAGAGGGUUCAGACCCUCGGCGGACUGCUCAGUAACACGUGGAUAACCUGACCUGUGGUGGAGCAUAACCCCGGGAAACUGGGGAUAAUACUCCAUAAGUUACGAUAUCUGGAAUGAUUUGUAGCUCAAAGCUCCGGCGCCACAGGAUGGAUCUGCGGCCGAUUAGGUAGUAGUUGGGGUAGAGGCCCAACUAGCCUGUAAUCGGUACGGGUUGUGGGAGCAAGAGCCCGGAGAUGGAAUCUGAGACACGAUUCCAGGCCCUACGGGGCGCAGCAGGCGCGAAAACUUUACAAUGCAGGAAACUGUGAUAAGGGAACCCCGAGUGCCCGUACACGCGGGCUGUCUGGGUGUUUAAAAUGCACCCAAAGAAAGGGCCGGGCAAGACCGGUGCCAGCCGCCGCGGUAAUACCGGCGGCUCGAGUGGUGACCACUUUUAUCGGGCUUAAAGCGUCCGUAGCUGGACUGCUAAGUCCCUUGGGAAAUCCGACGGCUUAACCGGCGGGCGUCUAAGGGAUACUGGCAGCCUUGGGACCGGGAGAGGUAAGAGGUCUCCGGGGGUAAGAGUGAAAUCUGUAAACCCGGGGGACCCCGGUGGGAAGGACUUUACCAAACGGCUCCGACAG